GUGUUUGAGGUUUUUAUUUGCAAAAAAUGUGUUUGGUAAUGAAUUUUUUAUCUAUUUAGAAUGGUCUGGGUAAGAACGGAUUAUAUAUAAAAAGAUUUAAUUUGAUUGCUAAGAUGAUUAUUUCUAUAUUAAAGAAUUUGGCAUCUAACAUAUUUGAUUUGUUGUACGCGUCUUAGAUGGGUGUUGUUGGUAACAUUUGAUUGUCUAACCAUGAUACUAAAGCUUAUUAGAGAAAAAUAAUGCAAGUUGUCGGGAAAAUGGACAUUUAAUUCCUCAAACUUUUUGAAAUCAACAAUUUAAAUACCGAACUAUUGCUCGCGCGAUUUUAUGCCCCAACUAUUUGUUGACUCGGCAAAUUAAUGACUCAAAAAUUCAGCUGUUAAGUGUUAAACGUUUGUCGUUAGUUUUAAUUUCCCUCACUUACAACAUAACUCGAAAUCUCCAAAUUUGGAACCCUAAUUUCGAGAGAAGGUGAUUCCGGCGACGAUAGAGGCGAUUUCCGGCGAGAUAAGAGAGCAAAUCCGGCGACGUGAUGAAGAGCUUCGAGAAAAACAAGAAACUUUGCCUUGAAACAACUCAAAUUUCUUCUGGAUCAAAAUAUGUAAGUCAUAUGUUCUUUACAUUUGUUUUGAAGAAUCGAGUGACUGGUGAGAAUGAAAGGUGUAUGUAGCAGAUAGAUUUCGAACUUUGCCGUUGGUGGUUAUGUCUUUAGGAGGAGUUAGGUCCAGUAUGUAUGAGCGAUUCAUAUAGUUGUGGGAUCGUGUAUGGAGAGACAGGAUAUCCAAAAAAAUGUGUUUGUGGAAGUUCGGUUAAGAUCUUUACAUCAAAGUCCAUAGCUAAUCCAGGACGUCCUUAUUUCCGGUGUACUUCUUCCCGAGCGGGAAGAUUUACUAGACUACUUAUUCUCAUGUGUUAACCAUUGAUAACUUUCUUCAUCUUUAUCUUCAUAUGUGUAUUUCAGGAUGGGCACUUGUUCAAGUGGGUUGAAGAUGGAACACAUGAAGAAGUAAAUGAGCUGAAGCUUGAAGGGACGUUUUUAAUAAAUGAUCUCAAGCUUCAGAUCGAGAACUUGAAAGAAGAAAUUCAAGGAUGCAAAAACGAGAUGAAAAAUUUCAAAAGAAAGAUAAUUUGUGCAUUUUGGUGGCUUGUGUGUUGUGGCCAUUGUUGUCUUCUGUGAAAAAAUGUUUGACCAAGUUGAAAGUUCACUUGUGUUUGGUAAGAAGAAAAUUUAAGAGAAUGUAAGAGAAUAUGUAUGAAAAUGUAACACAAUUUAUGUGUUUGAUAGUAAGAGAAUAUGUAUGAAAAUGUAAGACAAUUUAUGUGUUUUAAACAAGAUUUUGAGUAAUAUUUGUUGAGCAUAGACUUAUCGCCACUUGCUAGUUUUCAAUACUUAAAGUUUUUCAUAAACUUGAUUUUAGAUUGGGGCUUGAGUUUACAAAAAGAGUUACCCAUCCAUACAUAUCCGAGACUUAAAAUCCUACAUCACCAAAUGACAAACCCAAGAAAAUCUAAAACGACAAGCCAAACAACAUCCUUACACACCAAAUAGGAAAAAAACAUCAACAUAGCAUAAACAUGAAGACCACAUCUGCACUUGGUUAUGUAGAGAACCCAAACCCUUCUUGUGUUCCUCCUUGUGAUGGUUGAGAAGGUGGAAUUUGUGAUGAUCCUUGAGUAGCUCCUGGCUGCAAGUUUGAAGACCCUCCCUACAUUAAAUAAGCACCAAAUGUCAGUAAACAAAGCCAUUAAAAAAAGCAAGUAAGCCAUUUCAAACAUAUUCUUUCCAUGGGCGACCUCUAGGACGUUUUGGUGGAGGGGCUGCGGCUGGAUUAGGACACCUAGUCUUGUUAUGGCCUUCCUUCCUACAGUUUGAGCAAGUAGGAACUCGGCCAUGGCGGGUAAGCUUGUGUGGAUUAGAAGAAGACUCAUGAGGAGCUUUCUUUCUAGAAUGAUCGUUAGGUCUCCCACGGUUGAAGUGUGGGGGUGGUGGAAGAAUAGGGAGCCGACCUAAUCUUGGCCACGAUUGCAUCCCUUGAACUGGCUUCAUACCUUCUGCAUAUAGCUUGCGCCAUUUUGAAGUCAAGUAGAAAUCAGAGACAUAAUCAUUAAGAUCUAAUCUUGUGUUCGUGAUGACACACAUAGCAUGCAUACAAGGCAAACCAUUCAACUGCCAGUAGCCACAACCGCAUGUUUUCUCAGCCAUGUUGACGGUGUAUGCAUCAUUGUGAUACUCAAUCUCAUGCACCUGGCCAGUGGUCAUAUAUCUAAUGCAAUCCUUAGCGCUUUGCCGGUUAAGCUCAAUCUCCUUAUCUGCUCUUGGCGUAAACCGUUUAUUCCACUUGUUGGUCAAAAUGGUUCUCUUUGCGUUUCUCACCAUGGUCUUUCUCCGAACCUCUGUCAGCAUAUCAAGAGGAGGUUUCCUUCUAGACUCCCUAGCACUUCUAUUGAAUGAUUUUGACAGGUUGUUUAGGUUGUCAUUGCAGCAUGAUCCAAGCUUGAAGAAUGCACGAGACCAUGUCAUCGGUCCAGUAGACUGCAGAGAGUGAUAAGCUCCUUCAUUGUAGGUCUUAAGAGCCUCUAAGUUGGUCGUAAACAUUGCUGGUGUGUAGAUUCGUGCAAUUUUCCAGAAUAGACGUUCAAGGACAAUGUCUUUAUUUGUCUUCUUCCAGUUUUGUAGAACAUGUCUAGCACACAUUCUGUGUUCGGCCUGUGGAAGCUCUUCGUGUACUGCAUGUAAUAUUCCAUGUACAAAUGAACAAUCAAGGCUAAAUACACCAGAGAAGUCUUAAUAUAUUCAUAAAGAAAUGAUGAACAUACCUGAUGCUUGUUUGAGAUUAUUGUUAUAGCGUCGCCAUCUUCAAGACCCAUGUCUUUUUUCAGUAGUUGCACAAACCAUAACCAAUUUGGAUUAUCCUGAACUUCUACCACAUCCUAAGCUAUUGGAAAAACUCUAUUAUCCCCAUCCCUACCAACAGCAGCUAGCAUUGGACCUUUAAUGUCCCAUUUCAUAAAUGCAGCAUCCAAUCCUAUAAUGGGUCUACAUGAGCCUUUCCAUGACGUUUUCAAGGCUUCAAAACACAUAUACAAGCGGUGAAAUCUUUGAUUGCUUCCAGGAACCGGACCAGGAAUUGUCUCAACUUCCAUUGUUGAUCCUACAUUAGAUUUACGUACCUCUUCCUGGUAAUCCCAAAGUCUUGCAAAGUAAAUUUCAUGACCCGCCUUUCUUCUGGCAGCAAGUGUUGCCUUUGCUCUUCUGCAUUGUUCUUCGGUCACAAUCAUAUUAUACUCUCUCUUUAUCUCAUCAACCAUCUCCUUCGAUCUGAUUUUAGGAUUGAUUUGAAGUCUCUCCUCAAAUAAUUGUGCUAUUGUUCCACAGUUAAGCAGCUUCGUAUAACCAGACCUAACACAAAUAUGUGUAACACUUUAACCAUCAGCUUGUUCCUGCCUUUUUCGAAAGAACAGUACACUCUCCAACCACAUUUUUCUUUUUCAUGUUGUGUGCACCAAACUCCAAGCCUAUUAGCUGAGGAAUUAUAGAACUUUAUGUCAUAUUGCGUCUUGAGAGAAUGCAUGAGAACAGCAAACUUAAACCUCUUAACCUCCUGUCCUAAACGAACAGUCUUCCUCUCACGUUCUAAACAAAAAAAAACACAUAUCAAUAAGAAGAAUCAGUAAAUUCUAUAAAAAAAAAAUCAACUGAAUUUACCUUUCAAUUUUAGUUGCAGGUUGAACUUCAGGAACUCUUGGCACAUCGGGAAUUUCGGGAACUUGAGCGACACUGGAAACAUCAGGAACUAUGGGAUUCGAGGCUCCCCUUCGAAUUGGAAACGUAUUCCUCCAUCUCCCUCUCCUUCCGGUGAAUGUUUUCACCAUUAUCUCGCCGGAAAUCGCCUACGUGUUCUCUGGAAUUGCCUAUGUUGUCGCCUCUUUCGAAAUUAGGGUUCUAAAUUUGGAAUUUUGUGUUAUGUCGUAAGUGAAUGAAUUAAAAAUAAACAAACGUUAAUAACUUAACUGCUGACUUAAUUAAUCCCUAAUUAGUCAAGUCAACUAAUACUUGGGGCAUUAAAUCGCGCAAGCAAUAGUUUGGUAUUUAAAUUGCCGAUUUGAAAUAGAUGAGGAAUUAAAUGUCUUUUUUUCCCGCAAGUUGUCCCAUAAACAUGUAUUUUUGUGCUGAUGGUUUUUCUUAUGUUUGUGUUGCACUGUCUUCUGCUUAAAGUUAGCGUCUACAGUUUCAUAAGGGUAAGAAACCUUAGAAUGUUUUAGAAUUUUUUACUCUUUAAAACACUUUUCGUCUUUCAAAUUACACAAUAGGUCACUUGUUGCUGGAAGCACACUUUCUCUUUGUGCAAUAUCCUAUAUGCCCUCAACCCUUCUUAACUAAGCUGUCACUUUCCCUUCUUUAAAAAAAAAAAACUGAUUAAUCAGUUUCUGAUUUUUGAGUUUUCAAAAACCAACCUAUAUUCUCUCUCCAACUUUACUUUUUCAGAUUCAGAUUUACUUUCCCCAAUUUGACGGUCCCUUCGGUUACUAACCCUAAUUCCGUGAACCCUCUUCUUCUUCAUCUUCAAUUUCUCCAUAGAACACCGUGAAACAGAGGUCCACCGCGAUUUUGAUUGUGUAAUCUCAUCUACACAGACUUGGGAACUCUUGAGAAUCCUCCACCGAGAUAUAUAUGUACGACAGUCUGGUUCUGUGGCUCUCCCUUGGACGAAUCUCUCUAUUGUGCUGUGUCUUGAUUGGAUUCAGCUUAGUUCCUACUGAUGAAACCAAUCUCCAUAGCAAAGGUAAACAUUAAUCUGAUAUACGGCGCGUAAUUGUCGAAGUUCUCUCCUCAAAUACACUCCCAAAUUGAUUUUUUUUUUUUUUUUGUUUUGGAAAUUCCGUUCAAUAACACAAACCAUAAACGAAAAGUUUGAGAUGAAAUCAUGAGGAAGUUGAGAAGUGGGGAGGAAAUCAAGAAGGAUUUGAGAGUUUGAGACAAGCAAAAGGUGGACUGAGUUCGUUGAUUGUCUCUGUUUCUCGAAAUCGUGGUAAGAUUCUUGUUUGUUUUCUUCACUCGUGAUUUUGUGUUCUGAGAAAUUGAUGUUCUGAAAAAUUGAGGAAAACGGGUUUGAGUUUAGUUUGUUUGAUGUGUUGUGUGCAUUUUCUCCAUGAAAAUAUGAACUAUCUUUUGGUUGAUAUCAUUGUAUUGUAUUGUUUGGUAUUGAAACACACGUGGUUGAUUUCUUUGUUUUUGUUUUAUCUAAUUUGAUGUUCGGUUGUUGUUUCGUCUUUGUAUAUGUCAUCGUCCUUGUGUUUCUAUGUCACUGUAUUUUACUGUGUUUUGUGUCUCGUUUGUGGUAUCAUGUAUGUGUGGUGUGGCAAAGAAAUUGCAGACAGUGUCACCUACCAACAAUGUUACCAAUCGUAUAACUUCUGAAAGUUUUUAUUGACUACAUGACAGGAUCCUUGAGGAGAGUUUAAGAGGUCAUAAAGCUCGAGAGUUGAUGCUGACACCUAGUGGUGUUUGUCUUUCAUAUUUUGUCCUUUAGUUUGGUUUUAGUCGUUGCCUCAAGACCUUUGUUCUUUCUCUUAAGUAAUAAAAACGUUUUCGUCUACAAAUUUUUAUCAACAGAUUCUGUCCAUGUCCACAAAUUUAAUCCAUGUCCAUGUCCACAGAUUUAGUCCAUGUCCACAUAUCCAUUUACUAUGUCCAUGUCCACAUAUUUGUUUUACGUAAAUGUUAAUAAAUAUAUAUGAAAUGGAUGUUAAGAGAUAGAAAAUCUUAUAAAUAGAUUAUUAUAAUAAUUCUAUUUAUUUUAUUU
This 5804-nucleotide long non-coding RNA is filed under the name Brassica napus (rape). RNAcentral's name for it is "long non-coding RNA (BNAP_LNC022792)". The record is from RNAcentral. Lineage: Eukaryota; Viridiplantae; Streptophyta; Magnoliopsida; Brassicales; Brassicaceae.